This 482-nucleotide ribosomal RNA is filed under the name Lamia textor. Its description in RNAcentral is "partial large subunit ribosomal RNA". It matches the Rfam family "Bacterial large subunit ribosomal RNA", at positions 1859 to 2603 of the family's 2925-position model. Lineage: Eukaryota; Metazoa; Arthropoda; Insecta; Coleoptera; Cerambycidae. The record is from RNAcentral.
CUGCCCACUGAAUUUUAAAGGGCCGCGGUACCCUGACCGUGCUAAGGUAGCAUAAUCAUUAGUUUUUUAAUUGAAAGCUGGAAUGAAUGGUUGGAUGAGAAAAUAACUGUCUCUAUUUAAUUUAAAUUGAAUUUUAUUUUUAAGUUAGAAAGCUUAAAUUUUUUUAAAAGACGAGAAGACCCUAUAGAGUUUUAUAAAAAAUUAAAUUUAAUUUUUUAGAAUUAUAACCUUAUUUAUGAUUUUUUAUUUAAUUGGGGCGAUUAGAAAAUUAAUUUAACUUUUCUUAUAAAAAAUAUUAAUGAAUAAAUUUUUGAUCCAUAUAUUAUGAUUAUAAGAUUAAAUUACCUUAGGGAUAACAGCGUAAUUCUUUUUGAGAGUUCAAAUUGAAAGAAGAGUUUGCGACCUCGAUGUUGGAUUAAAAUUAAUUUUUGGUGUAGAGGCUAAAAAUAUUAGGUCUGUUCGACCUUUAAAAUUUUACAUGA